UACAGAGGGGGCCAGCGUUAUUCGGAAUUAUUGGGCGUAAAGGGCGCGUAGGCGGCCAUGCGUGUCUUCCGUGAAAUCCCUCGGCUCAACCGAGGACGUGCGGAAGAAACUGCAAGGCUCGAGUCCGGAAGAGGGGGGCGGAAUUCCCAGUGUAGCGGUGAAAUUCGUAGAUAUUGGGAAGAACACCAGUGGCGAAGGCGGCUAACUGGUCCAGAUCUGACGCUGAGGUGCGAAAGCGUGGGGAGCAAACAGG
Molecule: ribosomal RNA, 253 nt
Filed under: uncultured bacterium
Lineage: Bacteria
Description: partial 16S ribosomal RNA
Rfam family: Bacterial small subunit ribosomal RNA
Source: RNAcentral